Molecule: long non-coding RNA, 1079 nt
Filed under: Homo sapiens (human)
Lineage: Eukaryota; Metazoa; Chordata; Mammalia; Primates; Hominidae
Description: novel transcript
Source: RNAcentral
AGCAGAGAGAGACCCAGCUCCAGGAACACGAAGGCAAGGACAGUAGCCUUCAGUCUCGACCCCAGAGCUUGGCACCCCAGAACCUGGGCUCCCCAAAGCAAGACCAGGGCCCCCACAUUGUGCGCCAAAGUGCGGGGUGGAGAAUGCCCACAGCCCAAGGGCCCCCAGGCUGAAGGCAGGAGACUGGGGCUGCUGGAGAAGUUGCCCAGGCUGAGGGGCCGUGCCUGGCAGGGACAUGGGGCUGCUGCUGCUGCUGCUCCCAGGCUGGGGGCCCAGCUGAAAGAGGCCAUCAAUCACAGCCGGCCCGCCAGGCCCACACCGCACCCGCCAGCCGGACAGUGGCCCGCCCUGCUCCUCAGAUGGCCAGGCCCUGCCCUCUCUUCCCUGUUCCUCCUUUGCUGACCCAAAGUCUCCCUAAAGUCAAGUCCUGUCCCUUGCCCCUCGCCAAGGCUGGGAGGGAAUCAAAGCCAUGGGGGAGGUGGUGGACAAAGGGUGGGCCUCAGGGGGCCGCCGUGUUCAGGCUGUGCUGGCUGUCCCUACAGGCUGUGCUGCAGGCUCCGAGCUGGCCUUCGUGCAGGAGCUGGGGGACACAGUGGCUGUGUGGGAGCACCCACUGGUGCUGCCCUGCCAGGUGGAGGGUGAGCCGCCUGUGUCCAUUUCCUGGCAGCGGGAUAGGCUGGCCUUAGCCAAUGAGAGUGGUGUCACCCUGAUGCCAGAUGGCUCCCUGCACCUGGCCGCCCUGCCUUCCCGCCGGAGCCUCCCUUCCCGUGCCCACGAGUACCACUGCGUGGCCCAGAACCGCUACGGGCGGCUGGUGAGCCGACAGGCCCGGGUACAGCUGGCAAGUAAGUGACAGGGCUGCUCCUGGGAUUGGGGGAUGAGAGUUGGUGGGGCACCCACAGAAGGCACCCAUGGGGCCCAGACUCGCUGAGAGUGGGCCUGAGCAGGGCCAGCCCAGCCAUUAGACACAGUGUACACACUGGUAGAGCCUCUGAUUCUUUUAGGGGCCCACAAAAAUGUUUUAACUUCUUCAAAACCAGAAGAAAAAAAUGAAUACAAUAAUAAAUAUGUAAAAAUGA